This 628-nucleotide ribosomal RNA is filed under the name uncultured Eubacteriales bacterium. RNAcentral describes it as "bacterial SSU rRNA". It matches the Rfam family "Bacterial small subunit ribosomal RNA", at positions 28 to 645 of the family's 1533-position model. The record is from RNAcentral. Lineage: Bacteria; Bacillati; Bacillota; Clostridia; Eubacteriales.
GACGAACGCUGGCGGCGUGCCUAAUACAUGCAAGUCGAGCGGUUGAAGCCUUCGGGCGGAGAUAGCGGCGGACGGGUGAGUAACACGUAGGUAACCUGCCUAACAGACUGGGAUAACUACCGGAAACGGUAGCUAAGACCGGAUACGACCAUUUGAGGGCAUCCUUGGAUGGUGAAAAGCGGAGCAAUCUGCUGCUGGUAGAUGGACCUGCGGCGCAUUAGCUAGUUGGUGAGGUAGAGGCUCACCAAGGCGACGAUGCGUAGCCGACCUGAGAGGGUGAACGGCCACACUGGGACUGAGACACGGCCCAGACUCCUACGGGAGGCAGCAGUAGGGAAUCUUCGGCAAUGGACGAAAGUCUGACCGAGCAACGCCGCGUGAGUGAUGAAGGUUUUCGGAUCGUAAAACUCUGUUGCCAGGGAAGAAUGGUUAGGCGAGUAACUGCGCUUGAUUUGACGGUACCUGAGAAGAAAGCCCCGGCUAACUACGUGCCAGCAGCCGCGGUAAUACGUAGGGGGCAAGCGUUGUCCGGAAUUAUUGGGCGUAAAGCGCGCGCAGGCGGUUGCUUAAGUCUGGUGUAUAAACCAAGGGCUCAACCUUUGGACGCAUUGGAAACUGGGCAACUGGA